AGGCCAGACUUGGGGACUUGAUCCCCUAAAUGAAGGCGUAGAGAAAUCAAAUCAUGUGAUCAUGGGAACAAUACCAGUUCUUAUGCGCAACAUGUGCCUGUUCGUAUAACAAUGUUAGCAAUAACUUGUUGGGCGGAGCAAAGAGAUGCUUGAUUGGUACCCGAAAGAUGGUGAACUAUGCUUGGGCAAAUUGAAGCCAGAGGAAACUCUGGUGGAGGAUUGUAGCGAUUCUGACGUGCAAAUCGAUCGUCAGACCUGAGUAUAGGGGCGAAAGACUAAUCGAACCAUCUAGUAGCUGGGUUCCUUCCG
This 309-nucleotide ribosomal RNA is filed under the name Aceria brachytarsus. RNAcentral describes it as "partial large subunit ribosomal RNA". It matches the Rfam family "Eukaryotic large subunit ribosomal RNA", at positions 684 to 963 of the family's 3401-position model. The record is from RNAcentral. Lineage: Eukaryota; Metazoa; Arthropoda; Arachnida; Trombidiformes; Eriophyidae.